AAAAAAAAAAAAAAAACAGUGAGAUCUGAAGGAGAGAUAGUGAAGAACUCUCACUAGAGAUCACAAGUAGGCAUGGAGGCAGGCAGAGAGGAGGAUGCAGGCUCCCCGCUGAGCAGAGAGCCCUAUGCAGGGCUCUAUUCCAGGACCUGGGAUCAUGACCUGACCUGAAGGCAGAGGCUUAACCUACUGAGCCACCCAGGUGCUGGGCUCCACCCAAAAUGCCUGUUGUACUAACCUCCUCACAAUAAAAUCUAAACCCUCUGUUGAAAGUCCAGUUCACAUGUCAAGUUCUCAAACAUUUCCGCACACCCUCCCCCAUCCAUCAUAGUGGCCAUGUGAACUACAGAAGCUAUAGGAGCUGCUCUACAUACAGGAUUUGGUCCCAUUCUCCCAGAAAUCCUGCAAGGUCAGAACUGUAAGUAAACAACCUCCACCCCUCACCUCAGGCUCCAUCCCACCGAAGAGUAAAUGGAUCAAUGAAUGUGCCCAGUGUUCCAGGUAAAUGGAGCAACAGGAAUCUGAAGGUGGGUGUCUUCAACUCGAAAAUCUUUGUACCGCCUCAAGCUGCACAUCUGGUUUAAAGCACAGUGACAUGCAUGGCUGGCUGAUGACGCCACCUGCAUCUGUGCUUUCCUUGUGGCACUAAGCAUCAUUAUCUGCCUUCAUGCCUUACCGCUGACACACAGCUCAGUCUCUCUGCUUUCAACUCAGGUGGCUCCAACUGACAGCUUUCCAAACCUCACGUAGUAAAGGAAGCACCAUGUGCUCUGCAGAGGAGACAGGUGUCACCAGACUGAGCAGAAAGCCACAGGCAGGAAGGAACCUGCUCUCUGGCAGUGGCAGAGGCUGGAGCCUCCUACUAACUGGAAGCAGCUUCUCAACACCAUGAAGCUGAGCCGUCCCUUAGGUGACCAGAGCUGCGAAGUUAAGACCAGAUGCUGCUGUGUCAGGAUCUCGAAGUUUCUUAUACACAAAAUACCCCAGUAGUCAGCAACAAAUUUAUUACACUGAGGAGUCAGUACAAGGUAUUCACACAAAACAAAGAACUGUGUUCAAGUCCAACCAAACUCCAUAUACACAGAUGGACUGACAAUAAGGGUAUCUUACUGUUUUAUAGGAAAACGGACAGUGCAACAAGCCGCUCUGAGACGGUGGGAAGGAGAAGAGGUCACCUUCCAUAAAUGUGCUCACAACAGACAACCCCACACUUGUUCUUUACUUUAAAACCUCUUGACUGUAAUUUUGGCUCUUCCUCUAUUUUAUUUCUUAAAGAUUUUUAGUUAUUUGAGAGAAGGUGCGUGUGUGUGCGCACGCACAAGCAGAAGGCAGGGCAGAGAGCCAGGAAGAGAGGGAAUCUCUAGCAGACUCCCUGCUGAGUGGUGAGCCUGACAGGGAGCUCAAUCCCAUGACCCUGAAAUUAAGAGUCAGGUGCUCAACCAACUGAGCCACCCAGGUGCCACCCCCCUCCCCGGACAAGACAAAUGAUCCAGUUCCUUCAAGUGAAAUGCAAGGAGUGAAAAGACAGAGGAAUCUUAGAUGAAAGGAGAUUUAAGAGGCAGAUCGUUUAAAUGCAAUAUGUGGAUUAUAAGGAGUAUGAGGUUAUGUCAGACAAGAAGGAAAAUGUAAACAGUCUGGAUUUGGUUAUACUAAGGAAGUAAUAUCAAUAUUUUUUGGUACAGUAGUGGUAUUGUAGUUAUUUUAUUAUUUAAUUUUUUAAUAAAGGCCUUCUGGAAAAAAAUUUUUUUUUCCUGGAAAAAUACAUCAAAAUCAUGACGGCAGGGGAGAGAAAAGUGAAUAGGAGCAUAUAUAGGACAUAAGACUGGCUGUGGCUGGUAACGUUGUAUGAUGGGUAACUGGGGGUUCCUUAUACUAGCCUUUCUCCUUUUACUGACGUUUGAAGUUUUCCACAGUGAACAUAUUUAUUUUGGAAGCCUGACUGAAGUGGUCCAGUGUCUUCACAUACCAGCUAGACAUCGGUAUCUUUCCAGCCCAGAACCCCUCACUGACCUCCCCUGUGAAAUACUUACAUGGUCUACACAGUGCUGUCUCCCUCCUUCCUCUCCACCCCACCCAAGUGUGCCUGUCUUUCCCACCACCCUUCCACCGGAAAGGCUUCCCAGACUUCAAAUAUUUGGUUGGGUCAACUGGCUAUGUGCUCCUCACCAUACCAACUCUA
This is a long non-coding RNA of Mustela lutreola (European mink), 2176 nucleotides long. RefSeq lists it as uncharacterized. Lineage: Eukaryota; Metazoa; Chordata; Mammalia; Carnivora; Mustelidae. The transcript has 3 exons. The record is from RefSeq and is a predicted model, not a curated record.